Molecule: RNA transcript, 887 nt
Organism: Asparagus officinalis (garden asparagus)
Lineage: Eukaryota; Viridiplantae; Streptophyta; Magnoliopsida; Asparagales; Asparagaceae
Gene name: TBC1 domain family member 22B-like
Exons: 5
Source: RefSeq, a predicted model, not a curated record
AUACAUGAGAGUAGAAACACCAAAUAUAAUCAGUUGAAUGUUGAUCAGAAGACAACUUACAUUCAGAAGGUCAUUGAUAAUAGUAGAAAGAGGAAAAGGAAUGAUAUUGCUGGCAGUAGUACUAAUAGCAAGGGAAAACGUAAGAUUGAUUUGUUUUGUGGAGCGCAAUAGCGAGAAUAUGACCAUGGAGGUUUGCAUAGAUUAAUUCGUACUUUUUCUUGAUGAAUGAUGUCUCAGGAAUUUGUUUUCAGGGCUAUUUGGCAUCCGGCAAGCAGAUAUGUUCAAGGAAUUAAUGAUCUUGUCACACCAUUUCUCAUGGUAUUUUUAUCGAAGCAUCUUGAAGGCGGCAUGGAUAACUGGUCGAUGUUCUCUCUUUCUCCAGAAAAUAUAUCUAACAUAGAAGCCGACUGCUAUUGGUGUCUUUCAAAAUUGCUUGAUGGUAUGCAAGAUCAAUACAAAUUUGCUCAGCCAGGAAUUCAACGACUUGUCUUCAAAUUGAAGAAACUGGUUCGGCGAAUAUAUGAACCUGUUUCAAGACAUAUGGAGGACCAAGGCCUCGAGUUUCUUCAGUUUGCUUUUCGUUGGUUCAAUUGUCUCUUGAUACGUGAGAUCCCAUUUCAUCUUGUUACGCGUUUGUGGGAUACAUACCUUGCUGAAGGGGAUGCAUUACCAGAGUUUCUCGUGUACAUAUCUGCCAGUUUUCUGUUGACAGUUAAGGACUUCACCCCAUGUAAGAGCAGCAUCUACACGUUGAAGGGAAGAUUCACAAGAGCCUUAAUAUUCAUGCUAAGGACAUGUUCUACUUAGGUAUUUCAUUGGACCUGAAGCCUCCAGCAGCUGAUGUUGCUGCUAUCAAGGAAAGGUUAUUUUAAGCUAACAUGAUGCGA